AUUGAACGCUGGCGGCAGGCCUAACACAUGCAAGUCGAACGGCAGCACAGAAGAGCUUGCUCUUUGGGUGGCGAGUGGCGGACGGGUGAGUAACGCGUAGGAAUCUACCCAGUAGUGGGGGAUAACCUGGGGAAACCCAGGCUAAUACCGCAUACGCCCUGAGGGGGAAAGCGGGGGAUCUUCGGACCUCGCGCUAUUGGAUGAGCCUGCGUCGGAUUAGCUAGUUGGUGGGGUAAGGGCCCACCAAGGCGACGAUCCGUAGCUGGUCUGAGAGGAUGACCAGUCACACCGGAACUGAGACACGGUCCAGACUCCUACGGGAGGCAGCAGUGGGGAAUAUUGGACAAUGGGCGCAAGCCUGAUCCAGCAAUGCCGCGUGUGUGAAGAAGGCCUGCGGGUUGUAAAGCACUUUCAGUGGGGAAGAACAGAUUCGGGUCAAUACCCGGAGCCCUGACGUUACCCACAGAAGAAGCACCGGCUAACUCCGUGCCAGCAGCCG
This 499-nucleotide ribosomal RNA is filed under the name uncultured bacterium. RNAcentral's name for it is "bacterial SSU rRNA". It matches the Rfam family "Bacterial small subunit ribosomal RNA", at positions 29 to 517 of the family's 1533-position model. The record is from RNAcentral.